CCUCUUGCCUCGUGUUGUGCUUUGCAUUCCCCAGCUGAAUCGGAUGCGUUAUGGAGUAAAAUGAGCUCAUACGCAGUAAUCCUGUAUUUGCUUGAUGAACAUAUUUGUUUACUCCAGGGUUCUCGCUCUGAAAGAAACCUGAUCAGAAUGGUGUCCAUUAGAGCCAGACUUGCUGUUUGUGUGCCUCUUCCUCAUCCAGAGGUCAUUCUGGAGGAGAGCUCAACGGGCCAGCCAGCACCGGGCCCAAUGCACUGCCAAGAUGGGAGCAGAGUAGGAGCGCUGCUAAUCUGAGAACUGGGGGAGGGGAUUAGGGUGCACUGUUAUUGUCUGUUUGAUGAGGGAUUAAAUUUGGUUAAUCCAGACCU
Poecilia latipinna (sailfin molly) is the source of this 365-nucleotide long non-coding RNA. RefSeq lists it as uncharacterized. The record is from RefSeq and is a predicted model, not a curated record. NCBI's taxonomy places the organism in Eukaryota, Metazoa, Chordata, Actinopteri, Cyprinodontiformes, Poeciliidae. The transcript has 2 exons.